This 125-nucleotide ribosomal RNA is filed under the name Desulfovibrio sp. RNAcentral describes it as "partial 16S ribosomal RNA". It matches the Rfam family "Bacterial small subunit ribosomal RNA", at positions 1 to 123 of the family's 1533-position model. The record is from RNAcentral. Lineage: Bacteria; Pseudomonadati; Thermodesulfobacteriota; Desulfovibrionia; Desulfovibrionales; Desulfovibrionaceae.
AAACUGGAGAGUUUGAUUCUGGCUCAGAUUGAACGCUGGCGGCGUGCUUAACACAUGCAAGUCGAACGCGAAAGGGAGCUUCGGCUCCCGAGUAGAGUGGCGUACGGGUGAGUAACGCGUGGAUA